GCGUGAGGGAAGACUGCCCUAUGGGUUGUAAACCUCUUUUAUAAGGGAAGAAUAAGUUCUACGUGUAGAAUGAUGCCUGUACCUUAUGAAUAAGCAUCGGCUAACUCCGUGCCAGCAGCCGCGGUAAUACGGAGGAUGCGAGCGUUAUCCGGAUUUAUUGGGUUUAAAGGGUGCGUAGGCGGUUUAUUAAGUUAGUGGUUAAAUAUUUGAGCUAAACUCAAUUGUGCCAUUAAUACUGGUAAACUGGAGUACAGACGAGGUAGGCGGAAUAAGUUAAGUAGCGGUGAAAUGCAUAGAUAUAACUUAGAACUCCGAUAGCGAAGGCAGCUUACCAGACUGUAACUGACGCUGAUGCACGAGAGCGUGGGUAGCGAACAGGAUUAGAUACCCUGGUAGUCCACGCCGUAAACGAUGCUCACUGGUUCUGUGCGAUAUAUUGUACGGGAUUAAGCGAAAGUAUUAAGUGAGCCACCUGGGGAGUACGUCGGCAACGAUGAAACUCAAAGGAAUUGACGGGGGCCCGCACAAGCGGAGGAACAUGUGGUUUAAUUCGAUGAUACGCGAGGAACCUUACCUGGGUUUAAAUGGGAAAUGUCGUAUUUGGAAACAGAUAUUCUCUUCGGAGCGUUUUUCAAGGUGCUGCAUGGUUGUCGUCAGCUCGUGCCGUGAGGUGUCGGGUUAAGUCCCAUAACGAGCGCAACCCUUACCGUUAGUUGCUAGCAUGUAAUGAUGAGCACUCUAACGGGACUGCCACCGUAAGGUGUGAGGAAGGUGGGGAUGACGUCAAAUCAGCACGGCCCUUACACCCAGGGCUACACACGUGUUACAAUGGCCGGUACAGAGGGCCGCUACCAGGUGACUGGAUGCCAAUCUCAAAAGCCGGUCGUAGUUCGGAUUGGAGUCUGUAACCCGACUCCAUGAAGUUGGAUUCGCUAGUAAUCGCGCAUCAGCCAUG
Molecule: ribosomal RNA, 955 nt
Filed under: human gut metagenome
Description: bacterial SSU rRNA
Rfam family: Bacterial small subunit ribosomal RNA
Source: RNAcentral